RNAcentral lists this transfer RNA (76 nucleotides) under Alphaproteobacteria bacterium. Its description in RNAcentral is "tRNA-Phe". It matches the Rfam family "tRNA". Rfam says of the family: Transfer RNA (tRNA) molecules are approximately 80 nucleotides in length. Their secondary structure includes four short double-helical elements and three loops (D, anti-codon, and T loops). The record is from RNAcentral. Lineage: Bacteria; Pseudomonadati; Pseudomonadota; Alphaproteobacteria.
GCCCAGGUAGCUCAGUUGGUAGAGCAGAGGACUGAAAAUCCUCGUGUCGCUGGUUCGAUUCCGGCUCUGGGCACCA